RNAcentral lists this ribosomal RNA (497 nucleotides) under uncultured bacterium. Its description in RNAcentral is "partial 16S ribosomal RNA". It matches the Rfam family "Bacterial small subunit ribosomal RNA", at positions 28 to 507 of the family's 1533-position model. The record is from RNAcentral.
GAUGAACGCUGGCGGCGUGCCUAAUACAUGCAAGUCGAGCGAACGGACGAGAAGCUUGCUUCUCUGAUGUUAGCGGCGGACGGGUGAGUAACACGUGGAUAACCUACCUAUAGGACUGGGAUAACUUCGGGAAACCAGAGCUAAUACCGGAUGAUAUUUUGAACCGCAUGGUUCAAAAGUGAAAGACGGUCUUGCUGUCACUUAUAGAUGGAUCCGCGCUGCAUUAGCUAGUUGGUAAGGUAACGGCUUACCAAGGCAACGAUGCAUAGCCGACCUGAGAGGGUGAUCGGCCACACUGGAACUGAGACACGGUCCAGACUCCUACGGGAGGCAGCAGUAGGGAAUCUUCCGCAAUGGGCGAAAGCCUGACGGAGCAACGCCGCGUGAGUGAUGAAGGUCUUCGGAUCGUAAAACUCUGUUAUUAGGGAAGAACAUAUGUGUAAGUAACUGUGCACAUCUUGACGGUACCUAAUCAGAAAGCCACGGCUAACUACGUG